UUUGUAGUCAAGCAAUGAAAGGCGAAUGGUGGAUACCUAGGCACACAGAGGCGAAGAAGGACGUGGUGACCGACGAAACGCUCCGGGGAGCUGGAAGCAAGCAUAGAUCCGGAGAUGUCCGAAUGGGGCAACCCCAAGAACUGCCUGUUGAAUAUAUAGACAGGAAAGAGCCAACCCAGCGAAUUGAAACAUCUUAGUAGCUGGAGGAAGAGAAAUCAAAAGAGAUUCCCUAAGUAGUGGUGAGCGAAAGGGGAAAAGCCUAAACCAAAAAGCUUGCUUUUUGGGGUAGUGGGACAGCAACAAGGAAUCCUUAUGUUAGACGAAGCAGCGAAAAACUGUACCAGAGAAGGUGAGAGUCCUGUAGUCAAAAACAAAAAGAUACUAGCUGUAUCCCGAGUAGCAUGGGGCACGUGAAAUCCCAUGUGAAUCAGCGAGGACCAUCUCGUAAGGCUAAAUACUACUGUGUGACCGAUAGCGAAACAGUACCGCGAGGGAAAGGUGAAAAGAACCCCAAUGAGGGGAGUGAAAUAGAACAUGAAACCAUUCGCCCACAAGCAGUGGAAGUCCGAUUCAACGGAUGACCGCGUGCCUGUUGAAGAAUGAGCCGGCGAGUUAAAGGCACUGGUAGGUUAAGGUGAAAAACUGUAGCCAAAGCGAAAGCGAGUCUGAAGAGGGCGCGAAUCAGUGUUUUUAGACCCGAACCCGGGUGAUCUAACCAUGUCCAGGAUGAAGCUUGGGUAACACCAAGUGGAGGUCCGAACCGACCGAUGUUGAAAAAUCGGCGGAUGAGGUGUGGUUAGGGGUGAAAUGCCAAUCGAACCCGGAGCUAGCUGGUUCUCCCCGAAAUGUGUUGAGGCGCAGCGGUUGUGAUUAUAGUCUGGGGGUAAAGCACUGUUUCGGUGCGGGCGGCGAAAGCUGUACCAAAUCGAGACAAACUCAGAAUACCAGAUGUACACACAACCAGUGAGACGGUGGGGGAUAAGCUUCAUCGUCAAGAGGGAAACAGCCCAGACCACCAGCUAAGGUCCCCAAAUCAUCGCUAAGUGGCAAAGGAGGUGGGAGUGCACAGACAACCAGGAGGUUUGCCUAGAAGCAGCCACCCUUAAAAGAGUGCGUAAUAGCUCACUGGUCAAGCGCUCCUGCGCCGAAAAUGAACGGGACUAAGCGAUGUACCGAAGCUGUGGAUUUUAGUAAAAAGUUAUCAGUUAUCAGUUAUGAAUGAACCAAAAGUUUGUAAUAACUGUUAACUGGUAACUGAGAACUGAACUGGUAGGGGAGCGUUCCGUAUUAGGAAGAAGCACUAGCGGCGAGCAGGUGUGGACGAAACGGAAGUGAGAAUGUCGGCUUGAGUAGCGAAAAUAUUGGUGAGAAUCCAAUACCCCGAAACCCCAAGGGUUCCAGAGCCAGGUUCGUCCACUCUGGGUUAGUCGGGACCUAAGGCGAGGCGGAAACGCGUAGUCGAUGGACACAGGGUCAACAAUCCCUGACUAUUGAGUGGGAGCAUUUGCAGUGCGCAUGAAAGUAAGCUACGCCCUGACUGGAUUGGGAGACUUCUACGGAGGUCGUGUAGUUAUGUUAGUGCCAAGAAAAGCUGUGAAUGUGAUGAAAGCUCAGUACCCGUACCCGAAACCGACACAGGUGGGGGAGUAGAGAAUACUAAGGGGAGCGAGAUAACUCUCUCUAAGGAACUCGGCAAAAUAGCCCCGUAACUUCGGAAGAAGGGGUGCCCACGUGAGUGGGUUGCAGUGAAGAGGCCCAGGCGACUGUUUACCAAAAACACAGGUCUCCGCCAACUCGUAAGAGGAAGUAUGGGGGCUGACGCCUGCCCAGUGCCGGAAGGUUAAGGAAGCUGGUCAGCCGAAAGGUAAAGCUGGCGACCGAAGCCCCGGUGAACGGCGGCCGUAACUAUAACGGUCCUAAGGUAGCGAAAUUCCUUGUCGGGUAAGUUCCGACCCGCACGAAAGGCGUAACGAUCUGGGCACUGUCUCGGAGAGAGACUCGGCGAAAUAGGAGUGUCUGUGAAGAUACGGACUACCUGCACCUGGACAGAAAGACCCUAUGAAGCUUUACUGUAGCCUGGAAUUGGGUCCGGGCUUGGCUUGCGCAGGAUAGGUGGGAGGCAUUGAAGCAUUCCUUGUGGGGAGUGUGGAGCCAACAGUGAGAUACCACUCUGGCGAAGCUAGGAUUCUAACCCGUUUCCGUGAUCCGGAAAGGAGACAAUUUCAGGUGGGCAGUUUGACUGGGGCGGUCGCCUCCUAAAAGGUAACGGAGGCGCACAAAGGUUCCCUCAGCACGGUUGGAAAUCGUGCUUUGAGUGUAAAGGCAAUAAGGGAGCUUGACUGCAAGAGCAACAACUCGAGCAGGGUGGAAACACGGUCUUAGUGAUCCGACGGCACAGAAUGGAAUGGCCGUCGCUCAACGGAUAAAAGUUACUCUAGGGAUAACAGGCUGAUCUCCCCCAAGAGUCCACAUCGACGGGGAGGUUUGGCACCUCGAUGUCGGCUCAUCGCAACCUGGGGCGGAAGUACGUCCCAAGGGUUGGGCUGUUCGCCCAUUAAAGCGGUACGUGAGCUGGGUUCAGAACGUCGUGAGACAGUUCGGUCCAUAUCCGGUGCAGGCGUAAGAGUAUUGAGAGGAGCCCUCCUUAGUACGAGAGGACCGGGAGGGACGCACCGCUGGUGUACCAGUUAUCGUGCCAACGGUAAACGCUGGGUAGCCAUGUGCGGAGCGGAUAACCGCUGAAAGCAUCUAAGUGGGAAGCCCACCUCAAGAUGAGUACUCUCAUGGCAUUAGCCAGUAAGGUCACAGGCAGAACACCUGUUAAUAGGUGGGAGGUGUACACGCAGUAAUGUGUUCAGCCGACCCAUGCUAAUAGACCGAGGGCUUGACUUCAACA
This 2896-nucleotide ribosomal RNA is filed under the name Brasilonema sennae CENA114. RNAcentral's name for it is "23S ribosomal RNA". It matches the Rfam family "Bacterial large subunit ribosomal RNA". Lineage: Bacteria; Bacillati; Cyanobacteriota; Cyanophyceae; Nostocales; Scytonemataceae. The record is from RNAcentral. RNAcentral also lists the same sequence under 1 other name.